This 253-nucleotide ribosomal RNA is filed under the name uncultured bacterium. RNAcentral's name for it is "partial 16S ribosomal RNA". It matches the Rfam family "Bacterial small subunit ribosomal RNA", at positions 524 to 776 of the family's 1533-position model. The record is from RNAcentral.
GACGUAGGGGGCAAGCGUUGUUCGGAAUUAUUGGGCGUAAAGCGCUCGUAGGCGGGACAGGAAGUUCGUGUUGAAAGACCUCGGCUCAACUGAGGGACCGGCUCGAAUACUCUUGUUCUUGAGGCAAUCAGAGGGUGAUGGAAUUCCCGGUGUAGCGGUGAAAUGCGCAGAUAUCAGGAGGAACACCGGUGGCGAAGGCGGUUCUCUGGGCCUGUACUGACGCUGAGGAGCGAAAGCGUGGGGAGCGAACAGG